AGAACACUUCCACCACUGGAAAGCUCAGGACCCUCCAUCCCGUUGGUGGCUGCCCCAGUCAUUACAGAUUUUCUUCCUUUCACUGAGCCAAAUCUGUCCACUGGCUUCCAGGAAGAGGAGGCCUGGUCUGUGCCCCUGCCUGGCAAAGCCCCGUAGACUUUCCUCAAUCUUUCAAGUGUCUUCUUUAUCUUCUAUCCUGCUUAUAACAUAAGCACCACAUUCAGCUUUGGGUUUUAUAUGUCGGCCUGCUAAGUAUCUGAACCAGGUUUAUCCAAAAUUUGUCACAGUAUAUGAAUUGAUGUUCUUUGAAAAAGAACAAAGAAAGUUUUAUGGUCAAAUAAGCUUUGAAAAUGCUGGGUUAAUAAGCUUUGGUGGUCACACUAAGUGUUCAUCUACAUCCCUGGCUCUUCCCACUUUGGCACCCGCCAGCCCCACUGCCACUGUCAUCACCUGCACUGCUUUACCUGAGGGCCCUGUCUGGUCCUUGGAGCCCACUUUUUCUGCCCAGGCAACAAGAAGUGUGAAGGAAUCAAAACUCUCCAGGAGCAGCCCUCAACCAGAGACGGACUGGAGUUGGUGUGUGAUAUGGUUUGGCUGUGUCCCCACCCAAAUCUCAUCUUGAAUUGUAGUUCCCAUAAUUCCCAUGUGUUGUGGGAGGGACCCAGUGGGAGGUAAUUCAAUCAUUGGGGUGGGUCUUUCCCAUGCUGUUCUCGUGAUUGUGCAUAAGUCUCAUGAGAUCUGAUGGUUUUAUAAAGGUAAGUUCCCCUGCACAACUUCUCUGUCUUGCCUGCUGCCAUAUAAGAUGUGGCUUUCGCCUUUUGCCACCCCUAUGCCAAGAUUGUGAGGCCUCCCCAGCCAGAUGGAACGGAAAUGGUACCAAUUUCCUCAAGCUGCAAGACUGAGAGACAGAGACACCCCAGGAUUGGGCAAUUAUGUUAGGAAAUUCAACAUUCGAGAUGAAUGGAAAAUGGCUGGGGACUUUUUCUCAACAACUUGGCUCGAACAGGAUUGAUUCCAGGACUGAGAAGUAUUCAAGUGACUCAGUGCCUGCAGUGAUAUAAAAUAGGAUCAUUUGGUAGCUGGAAAAUCUAAGGUGUGCCCUAUCAUCAAAGCACCGGCAUUUAAUAAAGUUGAUUAAGGAUGUUGAAGCAGCAAGGAGGGAAACCAACCAUGGAACACCGGGUCAACCCUGCAUUAGGAGUCCGGAACAUCACAGAGACACAGGGAGAUGUCUUCUAAAUUUCUGCAUGGACCAGGAGACUUUUUCUUGCCUCUAGAAGGACAUGGAAUGUUCUUUCUGGAACACCCCCCAGCACUGGCUCAGGACAUCUCUGUGAGGGUUCUUAGAGGACUCAGGGAAUGCUGUCUGCACCUGCACACACAGGUGUGUGGGUUUCCUCUGGGCAUUGGCUGCAUGUUAGGCAUUUGGUAUUCUGUCCUAUACAUGAUGGGAUAAAGUGUUUAAGAGAUAAAUGUUCCAAGACCUUCCUGAUCUACCCAUGAAUAAACAACCUGACUGGGA
This 1522-nucleotide long non-coding RNA is filed under the name Homo sapiens (human). RNAcentral's name for it is "HSALNT0230524". Lineage: Eukaryota; Metazoa; Chordata; Mammalia; Primates; Hominidae. The record is from RNAcentral.